This is a long non-coding RNA of Parasteatoda tepidariorum (common house spider), 886 nucleotides long. RefSeq lists it as uncharacterized. Lineage: Eukaryota; Metazoa; Arthropoda; Arachnida; Araneae; Theridiidae. The record is from RefSeq and is a predicted model, not a curated record.
UAUUUUUGUUGUCUAGUAAUCUGCAUACCGUGUUGACAUAAGGUAGUAACAGUAUUACAGAGACAAUCAUUGGAAUUUAUGUACCGAUUUACGACAUCGUAUUUCCAAAGUGGCCGUAACCCUGAAAGAUAAGUCGUAAACGCUUUUCUCCAAUGGAAUCAUGGGUAAUUCUGUACGAAAAAGAACACAUUCGCUACUGCUGGGAAAAUUCUUUAUGAUUCGAAUAAUAAAUACAGUUGAAGCGGAAAAAUAACGCUCCAUUGUUUUUCAUCCUUCAGAACUUGAUGGAAUGCUGCUGAUAAAUAAUAUGCAAAAGUCUUUAAGAAGGGAGUAAAUAGUGAUGAGAAUUAUUUUGAAAUAAGAGAUUGGAACGAAGUUCUAAGGGAACAAAUGGCCUAUGCAGAGUUUGAGUUGAGAGAUUGGGAGGAAGUUCUCAAAGAACAAAUUAUGACUGGAUUGAUGAAGUCAAAGAUGACUCCCCUGGAUGAUAAUCCUGAUGACGAUCUUGUUGCAGUCAAUAAGGAGAUGAAGGAAGCUCAUAAGCGGGGGACAAUUGAUGAGCUGGAAGAUAUUGGUACAAUGGAACAGUUGUUGAACUGGCUGAUACAUUGGUGAAGAUUCGAAAAAGACUGUCAAAGUUGAUAGACUUUCAGAGAGCAAUUGAUGAGCGGUAUACAACAUAAAGGAUAGAAAAAAUUCGAAAAAGACUUUCAGACUUUUUGACAGUAAAUGGGUCACUUGAUGGCGCAAAAUUAUGUAACUUUGUAAUUCAAAAUUUGUAAAAGGAAGCCUAAAGAUAGUUGAGAUAACAUUUAAAUUGCUUUUGUUAUAUUAGUAAUGGAAAUAUCUCAUAUAUCUGUUUAAAUAAAGGAUUUAUUAAACGUUA